RNAcentral lists this ribosomal RNA (115 nucleotides) under Microbacterium sp. SL62. Lineage: Bacteria; Bacillati; Actinomycetota; Actinomycetes; Micrococcales; Microbacteriaceae. The record is from RNAcentral.
UUCGGCGGCCAUAGCGAGAGGGAAACGCCCGGUUACAUUCCGAACCCCGAAGCUAAGCCUCUCAGCCCCGAUGGUACUGCAAGGGGGACCCUGUGGGAGAGUAGGACACCGCCGG